Molecule: long non-coding RNA, 14086 nt
Filed under: Malus domestica (apple)
Lineage: Eukaryota; Viridiplantae; Streptophyta; Magnoliopsida; Rosales; Rosaceae
Description: long non-coding RNA (MDOM_LNC000643)
Source: RNAcentral
CAAUUCGUACCUGCAUCAUUAGUCAUUUUGUUGGAAACCAAUUGGAUUGAAACUUUGAGAGAAAGGUUAGAAUAUGGUUGAAAAUAUUUGAGAAAAUAUGAAAUUGUGGUGUAAGGUAGAAGAUAAUGACAAGGUAUUUAUAGAAAAGUAAAAUCAAUUUUUUUUUAUAUUUUUUAUUAAUUUUUUGUUGUGACAACCUGUCCUGAAUAAAUAUAUAUUUUCUCCCUGAAUGUGUGAAAAUGAUGAUUAUGCCCUUGUUGGCUUGGUGACAUGGAUGUACGUAUAUAGUUUUAAAUUAUUUUUCCUGCUAAUGUGAUCAAAUUGUAUUCGACGCCACGAGAGCAUUGACGUGAGUUAGGGUCGUAUCGGUUUUCUAGCGGAAAAGUUACGACAAUUAAAGAUCGAGAUUGGGUAGAAAUAUGUUUUUGGGUUGGCUAUACCUUACUCACCAAUCACCUUAGCUCCUACAAUCUUGAAUCCAAUCAAAAUUGGAGUGGUUUUAUUUAUUUUGGGCCACUUAACAUAACUCUCUCUCUCUCUCUUUCUGUUUCUCACGACAGCCCAAUUAAGGCAUUGUUUCUUUCUUUUCUAACCAAUCCCAUGCAUACACACACACAUACACCCACACAUGUACGCAUCCUUCUUCUCUCCCUCACCUUCUCGACUUUUCCUCGUCCGUACACCGUAGCACCCACACACCCAAUCAUCACAAAAACGUCACGGAUCGAGCUUUUGGAAAUCACAAUCACACUCCUCUCAAGCUCUCAAACCUAAUCAUACCCAUAGGUUCUAGUUUUGGUGAGAUUUAGCCGUAGUUCCACGAACUCCUGCACGGUGGGAAUUUGAGACUUGUGAAUCGUGGGCGAUUCACAAGGUUUUAAGGCUCAAGAAAGCUCUUAUUCAACUCCUUAGAGAUCCUAGACUAGCUUUCGAUCAGAGUUGACGUCGGGACGCGUGGUUUCGAGAAGUUGCAGGGCUGGCUAGAUUUUCCAAGGAUUAUUCCGACCAUUUUUCGUUGGUUUUAGGACCUUAAAUAGGUAUAGUUGUGUUUUAUUCUUCAAGAGUUUCAAAUCCAUAUAAAAUUCGUAAAAUUUGGUUGAGAAAUGUAGUUACAAGCUUUAGAAAUUUUUCCAGAAAUCGGCGACACAGACGGUGGCCGGCGGCGGUUACCGACGAGUCACCAGAGAAGGAAGGGGAAUAUUCCGUUAACUUUAAUGGGAUAUAUUGAUGGCGUCAGGUAAUUUUAACGGAAUAUUCCCUAACGUCGUUAGGGAUUCCGUCAGUGUGCCAGACACAUGCCUGCUCGUGGCCAGCGCGUGAGGGCACGUGAGACAUCAGAAUUUUUUUCUAAAAAUAUGGGGAUGCUCGCGGUGUUGAGUAGGCCACGAUGGUAUAUUCAAAAACCCCAAUUGAGCAACGUAUGAGAAGUUAUUACAUGGUUGUGGUUAUGUGCUUAAAAUUAAUGUUAAAUUUGUGGUUUCGCAUAUAGGUGAGACGUUUCUAGAGGAAGAGCGUAGCCAAACGAGACUCGGGGGUUACGACCCUGCUACAUACCAGUGAGUGGGCUUUUGGUUUUCUAUAUAUACGUAUAUGUGUUUUCCAUUUUCCCAGAAUUUGUUUUAAAUGGAUUUACAUUUUAAAAUGCCAUGUCAAUUGCAUUACAUUUUAGUAUAUGCAUUAGUAUAGAUAUGCAUAUUAUUGCAUGACGUUGUAGAUGCCCAGGUAAGCUUCAGGUUAGUGCAUAUUAAUGAUGUGAUUGCAGUGUGUAUGGUUAUGUUUAGAUGCAUUUAGUGCUCAAUAUCCUACACCACAGUGUUAGGGCUCCGCUCAAGGCCAGGGCCUAGCCUUCACGUGUUCGUUCACCUCCUGCACCACAUGCUCACCUUGGAUCCAAGGCAGGUGCCAUCCUGUCAUACAGACCACAUUAGGUGAUUCCGACUCGUAGGUGACUUGCGAUACUUCGCACAACCUUCAUGUGAUCGUAGCACUUGAGUGUAUUUAUUUACACCCAGCCUGUCGUAAAGACCACAUUAGGUCGUUUCGACUCGUGUGCAGGAAUUGGUAGACGAGCUAUAGGUCUAGCUGUACAGGUCACGUUAGGUGAAUCCGGCUGACAUAUCAGUUUACAUUGAUUUAUUUCACCUGGCUUACUUAUUUCAUUGCUGAGAUACUUGACAUGGCAUAUACUUGGUUUUCACUACUCUCGAGCAUGAUUUCUACAUACUAUGUAUUAUUAUUUUCUGGGAAAUUAUACAGGUUUUACGGUGAGGGGUUAUUAUUUUUGGAAAGAGAAAUGGUUUUAAAAAGCUUUGUUUUUGCCCACUCAUGUUUUGUGUUUUGCGCCCCUCCAAGUUCUAGUUAGACGUUCAUGUUGGUGGCUUACGAGAACUCUACUGUGGUUCUGACAUACUUCAAUUAAUGUAGGAAUUUCUUUCAUGUCUUGUAUAAUUAAUACUUAGCCUACUAGACUGUAUCUAGGUUACCUAUGCUUUGAAUAUGUGUAUCUACACCUUAAGUACCUCCACUCGCACUUAUAUAUAUUUAUCUAGUGUAAGUUAGCUAGUUGGUUUUUAUUUACUUACGUUUUCAUAUCACUAUCACUUCCACUCUGCGCUCAUGGUUACGUCACCCUCACGUGACGACCAGCAUGCCUCGAUUCCGGUCGGAGUGUGUCAUUUAACAUUUUUUACUAACUUAAUUCAUUUCUGCCGUUGGAUUAAAAAAAUUUGAAAUCCAACCCUCUAAAUUGUGCCACAUGGCACAAUGGUAAAAUUUCAAAUUUUUUAUUGUUAUUUUUUUUAAUUUAUAAAGGCGAAUAACGUUGACCGUUGAUCUCAAAUCCAAUGGUUGAAAUUAAUGAAGGUUUGAAUUUUUUUUACCAUUCGAAAUCCAACGGUCCACAAAAAUUAACCGUUGAAAUCCAACGGACGAGAAGCUGCCAUGUGGCUUCCAACGGUAACAUUACUCAGGCCUGUGCCGCAGGCCCCACCGCCUGAAAACAUGUCGGGGACACACCCCCACGUGCGCGUGAUAUGCACAUGCCUGACUAAAAACAUAUUAAAACGUGGCUGACAUCACCCUAACGUCAGCGUUGCAUCACCUCCACCUCUGGUUCUCAGGCCACCGAUUCUUGCUGGGCCUCUUGCUCGGGCCCCCUCUUGCGCUACCGCCCACAUGAGUUGGACGUCAUUGCUAAGGCUAUUGCCCCUUGUUCUCGAGCCGGUCCAUCCGGCUACUCCACCCGGUUGAGUUGCUCUAAAUAUUCAAGUUGCUGGAGUAACUAGCUUUUACCAGAAUAGCAUUGGAUUGGGUUAAUCCAAUGUUGCAGGGUCUAAAAGGGAAUGUGUGAUCAUCACAUUUUCCCUUCACAAAAUGAUAACAAUUAGUCAAAUUGUGUUCUUAGUUGAUUCAUGCUAAAGUGAUUUAAACUUUUCAAAGGAAUAAGAUAUUGGAAGAAAAAGAAACAAAAAGAUUAGAAACCCUCCACUUUUGUGUUUGCUGGGAAAACCCAGUCCUCAAUCAUGGAUAGUAGCAGCAACAAGUCCAUUAAAAAACAUAUUUCUUGUGAGUCACCAGAAUUGGUGGUUGUUACGAAUCGCAAGAUAUUUGUUCUCUAGAGUAUGAAUCAAAGCUAUGUGUCACGCCCUGAUCUCGAGAUACGUCCAGGAUCGACAUGUGACAUCACCACUUACUUGUUUAUUAUUUACGCCUCACCUCCGGGACAUGACCAAAACACAAAUCAAUAGUUUAAUAACGUAGUAACUUUCCGUUUUAUAUCAUGGCUGCAUCUAACUUUUGCUUUAGACUGCCUACAUACCCUAUGCAGGGAUCAAGCCAUUCAUAUUCACCAUUCUCUUAAACUCUAAAAUUCUCAAGGAAUUAAUUGGCAAGAACAUAGAGCUCCAAAAUUACUCGAUGGAACCAAACAAACAUGUCUCACAAGAUUUUAGUUUACAUAACGAAGCCAUAUAAGAGCCAAGAUUGUUGUUUCAUCAUUCAACUAUAUUACACUAAUUUCCAAGUCAAUUCUACAAUCACCACAAUUAAUCUAUUGAAUGACUCAACGAUGAAUAAUAUAAACUACAUUAAUCAACCAAUACUAUCAUGUAUUUCAUGAAAUUUAAUAAGGGAAACUUCGUAAUUUCCUACCUAAAUUUCAAGCAAUAACAUUGUAACCCUAAUUUACAACCCCAAAUAUCGACAUGGAGCAAUUUCUAUUCAUAAGAAUCCAAGGUUCAACAAAUAUAGUGUUUUGGACCACUCAACAGAAUCCCACUUUGUUAUGUGUAUGGUUCCCCAAUGCGGAUUAACUAGUGGAACCAUAGGCAUCCAUCUGAUAACGUGACCCCUCUUGUGGAUUAACCAGGCAAGACCACCUAUAGAUAAAAUAUGAUCAACUAAGCAAUGACUCAUAAUGCGGAUUAACCAGGCCGAGUCACCCAAAAAAUGCGUAUAGUCCCCGAUGAGGUUAAAUAGGGGGACUAUGGGCAUCACGCAAUGUUGUGAUCCCGAAGGCCGAUUAACCAGGCAAGACCACCUAUGGAAGUAAGUCGAGUAGGCAGUGAACCCUUGUUGGGGCCCAAAAAUAUCACACACCAACCAAGUCUCAAGGUCCAGUUGUCAUGCAAAGCCUACAUUCAAGCCCAAAUACAUGCCAAGGCACAUAAUCAACGAGGAAUAUAUUUACAAACAUGCCAUGCUACAAUGAUUAAACUGGAUACUUACGCCAUGCUCAUACCUAUUCAUCACGCCAUGCUUCCUCAUGCUAAUCAUUGCCAUGCUAAGCCCAAGUCACAUAUUCGAAGCUUGUGAAGUGGAUUAUGGUGUGGAUGGUUACAGAAGGUUAUCAAGCCUACAUGGAAUCGGGGUCAUGGAAGACUUUGGGUUGCUUGGGGGCCCAAAGAUCCAAGCUCAUACCCUUUGUAUUUCACGCAGGCAUAAUUAAGAAAGAACUAGCCUAAUUUACCUUUUCCUUAGCAAGCCAACUCUCUUAGUUAGGAUUAAACUAGAUUCUUGCAUUAAAUUGAUGUUAAACCCAACAAGUCAGGCAUUGAAUGCUGACUUUCCCUUUCUAGCCUGCACAGACAACCAACACGCGAAAGCCAUGAAGCGCGCUACCAGAAGUAGCGUUUGCGGAAGACCGCCUUGAGAAAGCCGCUUCUCAGGAAGAAGCAAAUUGCAAGUCUCAACAGUGUAGCUAUCUUACACCCAAAUGGGAAUAAUAUGAGGCCUAGGGAGAAAAGAAUAGAACACCAAGCCAUAAGGGGAGAUUUCUUUGAAGCCUAGAGAAGAACAUUUCAUCUACAAAAUGGGGGAAAAAAGUCAUUAAAAUGAGAGUUAGAACACACAGAGUAACACAGAGAGAGAUAUGAUAGAACGCAAGGGAGAGAACCACCCAGGAAAUAAGCCCAGAAAGUUCCAUCUAGCCCAGAAACAUACUCCAAGCCUCAAGCAUCAUCAUUCAUGCAACCCUAGUAAUUUCCACAUCUUUCCAUUGAAGUCUCAGCCAUUGGAAGCCUUACUAUCAUCCCAAGAAUGCCCAAAUCAUGCAACUAGGAGUGCCAUGCAACCAUGCAAACCUUUUCUCUCUCAUGUAAACUAAUAUUCUUCUAAGUUCCAUACCACGUUUUGCUUGAACAAGUCACUAUCUUGAUCAUUCAUGCUAUUUUCAAGCCGUUGAUGUUAUCGGGGUAUUUCCUAAGACAAGCUAACAUUUUCGAGAUAUCCCAGGACUUGUUACGAAUUUGUACCAAGAAAAAUAAGAGGACAUUCUCAAAGCCCAAGUCCACCUCGACCUAAAAGUCCCCCAACACCUCUCAAUGCUUAUUAACCAAGCAGAGUUACCCUAAGGAUGCGCUUAGUCCCCCAAUGCAGAUUAACCAGGCAGGACCACCCUUAGAGUGUGUAGUCCCAUAAUGUGGAUUAACUAGGUAGGACCAUCCCUAAGGUGCGUUUGGUCUCGCAAUGCAGAUUAACCAGGCGAGACCAUAGACAUGCCUUUAAUAGUGUGGUUCCUCAUUGCGGAUUAACCAGGCAGAACCACUUAUAGAGAUAAUGUAACCAUGUAAGAAGUGACUCCCCGAUGCAAAUUAACCAGACGGAGUCACCUUAUAAUGCGUAUGGUUCCCCAAUACAGAUUAACCAGGCAAGAUCAUCCAUGUACCACUGCUAUAUGGGGUAGUCACAUCAUCACACAACAUACAUCAAAUCAACAUGAAUUAUAAUUACUAGAAUUCACAUAUCAAUUCCAGAAGACAAACAAAUAUCGAAUCACAUAACAUACACUUUAUAACAUACGUUAGUUCAUCAUGAAUGACAAUUUCAAAUGUACAUACUAUCGAUCCCACUUAACUAAUCUAUAUCUGGUCAUACAGACAAACGAGUUGUAAGGAAUAAUUCUAACGAGAUUCCCACUCAUAUUUUCAUACUAGUAAUUACACAUCUCAUUUAUAUUAUCUAGAAGUUCAAUAAACAUAUAUGUAAUAGUAAAGCAUCACUUGCAUGUAAACCGAGGUAUACACUAACUGGGAUAGCUCACUAACCAAGGUUGCACUAGGCUCUACUUAGUCUUUAAGAAUUCUAAUUUUACUAUUUAAGAAUAAUUUGAAACAUGUUGACUAAUAGUCAACUCUCGGCCGACGUGGUCAAUGGAAUAGUCAACCAACCUAGUAACCUACUUCAAAAGAUCCACCAAUUGGAUUUUCGAUCUGUAACAUCGUAAGGGUCUUAAUACGUUUCUAGAACAAUAUAUUAAAAUUUUGUGACGAUCUGAUGGUCAGGUCUCUGCCAAUUGCAAAUUCAAGCGGUGGUGAAUAAUUGUUUCUCAAAACUUAUAAAUUCAAUCUAGAAAAGUUUGUACGUUGAAAUCUCAAAUAUUAUUUACAAAAAACUUGGUGACGAUCCAAGGUCAGAUCGUCAUCUACUACAAAGCCUAGCAAUUUAAGAUUUCCUUCAAUCCAAAAGAUCCGUAGAUCAACUUUCCAAUCUGUAAAUUUCUAGUGUCCUCAAAUAAUACGUACGAUAACAUACUAUAAAUUGGUGAUGACCCAACAGUCGGAUUAUCGAUUACUUCAAUGGUCAAGUUGCGGACCAUUACUAAAUUAGGCUCACACAACGGAAUUUCGUCAAAUGGAUGUUAAAUAUGGAAUCAUGGUAUCAAAUUUAGCUUAGAAAGGCCAACUAGUGUCUCGAGCCAUGCGUUGCACGUAGCGGUCGAUGACCCUUAUUCUCCGAAAAAUUUGCCUAACACCAAAAUUACUCAAAUUAUACACAAAAAAAGAUAGUGAAGAGUGGAGUAACUUUUAUACCUGACUCGACGACUGAUUUCACCAAGAUAUGCUUGAAAUUGGCAAGGAACAAUUGGGACACCCAAAACCCUCGAACACCGAUUCGCCCUAAUCGAAUUUUGAACGUCUUCAAACCCAGUCGGGUUUUGCUAUGCAGGUCGAAUGAGGCUUGGUGAUAGUGGUGGCUGACGUUGAGGUGGCCGAAACGGAAAGUUUGUCGUCAAAAUCGCAGAGACUAACUAGUAUUCCCCUACUGUGUAAUGUUGCCAAACGGGGUCGACAAGAGAUGGGUUAGGUUCGUGAUAGUGAAAGAAGUCUAGAGAUGAUGAUAUCGACACCUAGUGUCGUCGAAAAAAGGCUCAUAAAUUUCCUAGAAACCUUCCACUAUUUCGCAGGUUUUCAAGGAUUAUACGGGUCACACGGGUUGACCUCUCCUCCCCAAAUACCACCCACACAUGUGGCUUAUCUCCAAUGGGAAGGCUCUCCCACUUUACUGAAGCCGUCCAGAAAAUGGCCUAAUUUUACCAUACCCUUGCCUAUUCCCUAAUUUCUCCUUCAUUGUAACUCUGUUUCCCAAACAAUUUUCGUGAACGCAUUCGCGGGUUCGAACUGUAUUAAAAAGAUACUAAGUUUGAUCUUGAAAGAUCUAUAGAUUUUCAAUGAUUAAUUACGAAAAAUCCAACUUUAUAACCAAGUAACCAAAAUACAAAAUGGAAAACAUAUUAUUUUUCCGAAAGUAUGAAUUAUAAUUACGUAAAAAUUCAUUCAAAAUAUGAAUUACGAAUUAAUGAAUAGAGGAGACGGGAUUUCACACUACAUCUUUAGGAUAUUCUAGUUUUCCUUGUAGUUUGUGGCAAAGGUCGCUGGUCGAGGAAUAUGAGUUCACUCUUAAUGAAAGCACCAAUAGUUGAAACCAAAUUCGCACACCAUCACGAGAAGUGGAGAUGCACAAACUUGAUUACCUGUAAAAUAGCAAACAACGGUAAGCAACCUAGGACUAAUGUGGUGCCAACCAAAGGCUCCGUAAUGACUAAGUUAGUAAGCAAUAUUUGAGACUCAAGCAGUAGGCAAGAGAAUAAAGUAUAUGGUAAUUACGUUACCCGAGAUGAACCAUAAAAGAAUGUAUGUAUACUAGUAGAGAGAGAGACCUUUUAGGAUAUAGAACCUAUAUUAAACUGGAAAAAAUCCAAGAUGAUAUUUAGGAGUAGAUAUUACAUGUUCUUAGAUAUGUGAUCACUUGCAACAGACGUCAAAUCCCUAGAUUAUAGGAAUAUUCAAGAAUUUAAGAAAACCUAGCUGAUUCUAUACUGGAUCAGGUUUCUAUAUCUUGCAGAACAAGAAUGCUCUAUCUUAACGAAUUAGAUGGACUUCACCCACUUAUCCUGAAUAGGAUGAUGGUGACAUCGCUGAUUGUUUAUACAGCUUCGUGAUAGAGAUUGUUGAGUCCAUAACCGAACUUCUGAGAUAUUCGUGUUCUGAUCCAUCUUACUUUGGCCCUAGAAAAUCAUGGUCCCACACCAAUUAAAUUGGGAGACUAUCUAACCAAUUAAAUCGGAAGACUAUCUAUGAGGGAGUCUAGGAUAAGAUAUCCAAUCUUCUUAGGAUUAUGUUUACGUAUCCAAUCCAAAUAUAUCCUAAUUUGACUUGAAUUAGGGUUUUCUUACUUGGGAGACAAGUAAUACAGAUUGCGGAAUGUCUAAUUGGCUAUGCCUCUAACUAAUCAACCUGUUGGAAUAACUUACUCUGAUUCUGAUUAGAAAGCUUGACUAGUUGAUCGUCUGAACUUCAUGGGCUAUAGACAUUCUGGUCAUUCUUGCCACCCAAGGUUCAACAUGUCAUGGUUCCAAAAAAUCAUGGUCCUACAAUGUCAAUUUAGUAAUGGUCAAAGCCUUUUUAUGGUUGCAGAUAACGCUUUACCGCAACGAUAGAACAUACUCAUGUUUAUGUAUUUUGUGCGGAUUUGAUUUCCACUGAUCCAUCACCUCCCUAAUAACUCAUAAUUUAACCCACUAAAGCUAUCAGUUGUCUAAAAUAAAAUUAAAAAAAAAAAAAACACUUUUAUGGUUAGGUAUGAGUAUGUAAAAUUUUCCCCAUCAAACUUUGUUUUAGCCUAUUACCCCUAUAAACUUUUAUAAUGGGCCAAUUAAAGCUCAGGAAGAAAACUAGUCGAUUAUUGAUUUUCUGAUUUUCAUAUGAUUAGAUUGUGAUGUCAUCACCAACUAUGUAGGUUUUUAUGAUUAUCAUAUUGUCAUUCGCAACCCCGGAAAGGACAACACGUGCCUCUCCCAUGCAUUUUAUACGUGCCAUAUAUAUGCUUCAGCUUCAAUAAGUAUACCAUAAUGUAACAUUGUUGAAUUAGUACCGCAACAUGACUAUAUUACAAGCAUACUGUAAUAAUUAAUAGAUUAGGAAAUCAAAUUCCACAGCAAAGGUGGCAAGCCUCUCGAAUAUUAUGCUUGAUAUGUAUUUAAUUAUGAAGAAAAAACUUUGACUAUGUAGAGAUUAUUUGAGAACCACAUGCAUAAAUUAAUAAUCAAAAUAGAAAGCAUGAACUCAAAAUAUUUAAGCCCUAUAAAAUUUAAGCCUAGAUGGUGAACCAAGACUCUUUGAAAAAAUGAAAGAGGGAAUUUGAACUUCAUACCCUUCAAGCUCAUCUUUGUUUUCACAAGGCAAUUACCCAACUGGAGGGCUUUCAAUUCCUAUCCUUGCUCAUUGUGUAACAAACCGUCCCUAAUUUUACAACUUUAUUAAUUUUAAGUGUGAAUUGACUAAAAUGCCCCUAGAGGCGAGAUUGUUGACUUUCGUUGAUCCUCAUUUUGUGACGCAUAUGAGAUACUAUUUUACUGUAUUCAUGUAGUACUUGUUGCUACAAACGCGUGGGCACAAACGGAAUUGAAAUCGGAGUUACAAUUAAAUCCCUAUCCCUGAUCUCUCGAACUCUCUCUUCCCUCAGCCUAUCUCUUUGUUAACUCUCUAUUUCUUUCACUCACCCUCACUCUCUGAUGGAUCAUCAAGCACCACCAAAACCACCACGUCGUCGCCACUUCGGUGAGCACCACCACAACCCACCUGACCACCUAUUUCAUAAACCUGAACCCUAGAUUGGACAUUCUUUUUCUCUCUUUUCUAUGCACAGUGGCACUGCCACUAUUCAAGAUUCUUCCUCAGCAAUAUCUCGUUGUCCCCAGCGAAGGUAAACCUCGAAACCCCCAAAAACUUCUUAAAUCUUAUUUUGGUGUACGAUUAGGGUAAUUUUGAGAUGUUUUGAUGUAGAAAUGCCUCGGGGGGAGCUUCCCCAGUUUUUCGAUGACAAAUCCGGCGACUUCGAGCCAUUUUCCGACCAAUCCUGACCAUAACUCGACUUGAUUUUUGGUAUAAAAUUCUUCUCCUCUCUCUAAGCUUCAGAUCCAUAUAUAAAUUGCUAAGUUUGGUGGUAUUUCGAGCUUGAAUAAAGCUCUGUGAUUUGUUGCCCCGUUCCUGCCUUCUUCUUCAUUGGGUCCGGUGAGUGCGACCUGCGAGCCCAAUCAGUUCAACCUGACCCGAUACAAAAAAAAACCCAAACCCGGUUCCAAACCACCCCAAACCUGGUUCCAAACCACCCCAAACCUGGAUCCAACCCAACCGGUUCCUAAAUAGAUUUGGAAUAUUCUCGAAAUAUUCUUGAAAUAUAUUUGGAAUAUUCCUUGUGUUGAUUUUUUCAAAAUCUUUUAUGAAACCCUGCUUGGCUAAUUUCGAUGCCCCGAGUUCGUUUUUUAUAUCCAUUUACUAAAAUUCCAAGGUUAAUGUAGUUGACUGCCAGGCGGUUCAGUUAACUUUUUGGGUUGGCCAUUGACUUUUUAAGAUAAUUGCUCAAAACCCUUCUUAGCGUAUUUCGACGCACUAAUUCAGAGUCUGCCGUCCGUUUCUCCAAAUUCAAAAGUUUUAAUUAAGUUUUACUAAUGGGUCUGUAUUAUGCUUAGGUAGGAUUAACAUCGGCGAUCCGCAUCUACUCGUUCGAACGACUAUGACUUCACAAAUAGAUGUGAGUGGGUCUUUUCUUUUAUGUAGUGUGUGUGUAUAUAUAUAUUUGUUUAUUUUCCAUAUAUAUAUUGUUAAUGAAUUUUCUACGUGAUGCCAUAAUUAAUUUAACAUUUAUAAGAAAUGUUGUAAUGAUAAAAAUUAGGAAAUCAUUAUAAAUCCUACGGGAUGCCUUAAUUAGAUUUACGACUAUGAAUAGUAUUAUAUUGACUAGAAUCAUCGAAUCACUAUGGCUUGACUAUAUUUACGUUAUCUGCUUAUCGUGUGUUACAUUGGUGUUAGUACUCGCCCGUGGCAGGACCAGGCUUUACGUGUAUGUUCACAUCGCACUGUAUGCUCGCUUUGGAUCCAUUGUAGGUGCCAAUCCUGUCCUAGAUUGCUAUAGGCAGUUAGGACUCAUAUGUGAUGCACAUAGCACCAGUCUUCAUGUGAUUGUAGUACUAGAGCGUAGAUCAUUAUUACACUCAGUCCUAUUCAUGUCAUAAUACCUCUACAUGAACUCGUGUGUCCGCAUAUGUCGAUGAGCACUCGAUAUGAUAUGUUUGUUUAUGCGAGAUUAUAUGUUACUGGACAUUAUGUAUUUAUUUACGAAAUAUUGUGAUGUAUUUCACUCUUGAGAUAUUGUCGGCUACGGUAAGUAUUUUGACACUAUACGUAGUAUGUUAUAUUUUGAAACUAUACUUGUUUUACGGUAAGGGGUUAUUACAUUUUUUCAAAAAGGUUUUUACAAUGCUUUAUUUUAGGCCCACUCACGCUUUGUUUUUCGCCCCUGCAGGUUUUAGUAGCAGAGCUUUCUUAUUGGCGUGGAUACUUGACAAAUGUUGGUAUAGAAGAGUACCUUUGAUGGUAUAGUUUUUAUCCUACUUUUACGGUACUUUACUUAUGCUUUGACAUCACGUGUGAAUUGGGUUCAAUCUCGCUCACAUUCGCACUCUUACAUUUAGGUUUAAAUUUACUCAUAUUUUCCACAUCACUACACUUUAUGGCUUCGUCACCUUCCUAGUGUCGGCCAACACAACUCGAUUCAAAGUCCAGAUGGGCAUUCCGGACUGGGGUGUGUCACAUUGGAUAUUUCCUUUCUCGUUGACUCUUUGCUCCUUGGAAUAUUGGCUCUUUGCUUGCUCAUUUGCACAUUGAGGCUUGGAUGAAUAGAAUCAGCAAGCACCAAAAGAAUGGCACCUCUAAGUCUCAACAUCAAGGGUGAGAUGUGAAGACAAAAUAGACUUAGGAGAAGUUUUGAUGCUAGUAAAACUUCCUCUAAGGGCCAGCUGCAAAGAUAGGAAAGGGAAAGUGUUUCGUGUCUCCAAACUCCUUUCUCGCAACCUUAAUGAGUUUUGGCUGUAAUGCAAAUUAUAUACCCACUCACAAAUCAGCGGCAUAGAUGAAAUUAUGUUCUUGUCUAUGUGUGGCUUGUUUUGAUAUGGUCCUCAAGGACUAAAGACCAUUGAGCCUCGAAACGCAAACUAAUCUAAAGCCUAAUACAAACCUUUCGUACGAAUAAUUAGCUAAUUAAUUAAUCAUGACCAUAUCAAUUAAACUAUUUAAUUGCUUAUCCAUCUUAAUCAUAUUUCUUCAAUCUCGACCUAACAUGGUGUAAGAUCCAUUAGGCUUUAUUUAGUGAGGCAGUGGGUGAUGGUAACUCUUACUAAUCGAUUUGUGAAUUAAAACAUAUUUAAUUUUACCUUAGAUGAAGAUUAGCGAUUGCCAAUCUUUAGGGCUUCCACAAAUCAUGAGUGACACCUAACAGUAUGUCAUGGCUACCCAAUCUAGGUAGAAGUGAUUGGAUAAACUAUUUAGUUACAACUAUAAUGCAAUACAGUUCUUCUGGAAUUCAAUAUUCUUAACCACAUGGUUUGGUUGAUAGUUUAUUUCAUGUCUACUAUCGAAUUUGAUACUUCUCUAUAUGAUUUGGAAUAUUUUUCCUAAGUCAUAUUAAUAUGCUUUGGCCAAAAACUCUUGGACCAUAUCUUAGAGUAUUCUCUUUCCACCAUGGAAGGUUAGAAAUUCCUUGUUGUACAUUCACAUGUUUCUAUAAAUAAAUUAAUGACCUUAACAAUGCUAGGAACAUGCCCAAGAUGAGGCAUGUACUUUGUUACAUUGUCAAAUGAUUAAAGAUGUACCCACAAGGCAUAUGUGGUGUCUCAGGUCAAAUGACUACUUUACAUUAUUGCAACCAAUGAGUUCAUACAUGACAUGUAUGUCAGAGCUUUCUGUUGGUCGUUGUUUAGUGUACUCAACAACCUUUGGAGAACUUAUGUGUUUGUCUUAGUGUCUAGCACUAAUGACUUUGAGAUUAGUCAUAAUCCUGAAUAAGUUGACAUAACACAUACUAGCCUUAACGGAUUGUCAAUGACAAUCCUAUGUCUCGAAACAUUUUAGAAAUGAACAUAAGAGAAAGGUCUAAUUGAUCUAACACUUGUAUUACUUCUCUCUUAGGUUAAUUCCAUUCAUUGAAUUUUGUUAUUAAUUGAUUAAAUAUAUAAUACAUUAAAUAGUAAUUAACAAUAAACAAUGCUCUUUCAUUAACCUAAAUAAAAACUAAUACAUAAAUAUUCCAAAAGUUAUUACAUUAAAUGAGUGACUAUAAGAGCAUACUUCUAAUAAAUUAAUCAUUCAUACGGUCAUUGGAAUAACUAUCAUCUUCCGUAGGUUUAUGACUUAGAGUAAACUGUCAUUUAACCCCCUGAACUAUCACGUGAGUUUCAAUUUCCCCCCUGAACUAUUUUUUUAGCCAAUUGACCCCCUAAACUAUGUUAAAGUGGCCAAUUAACCCCCUACCGUUA